Molecule: ribosomal RNA, 774 nt
Filed under: Photobacterium angustum S14
Lineage: Bacteria; Pseudomonadati; Pseudomonadota; Gammaproteobacteria; Vibrionales; Vibrionaceae
Description: bacterial LSU rRNA
Rfam family: Bacterial large subunit ribosomal RNA
Source: RNAcentral
CCGCGCCAGUGGUUGUGGAGUCAAUCUUGAAAUACCACCCUUGUAUGCUUGAUGUUCUAACGUUGGCCCCUUAUCGGGGUUACGGACAGUGCCUGGUGGGUAGUUUGACUGGGGCGGUCUCCUCCCAAAGAGUAACGGAGGAGCACGAAGGUGGGCUAAUCACGGUCGGACAUCGUGAGGUUAGUGCAAUGGCAUAAGCCCGCUUGACUGCGAGAAUGACAAUUCGAGCAGGUGCGAAAGCAGGUCAUAGUGAUCCGGUGGUUCUGAAUGGAAGGGCCAUCGCUCAACGGAUAAAAGGUACUCCGGGGAUAACAGGCUGAUACCGCCCAAGAGUUCAUAUCGACGGCGGUGUUUGGCACCUCGAUGUCGGCUCAUCACAUCCUGGGGCUGAAGUCGGUCCCAAGGGUAUGGCUGUUCGCCAUUUAAAGUGGUACGCGAGCUGGGUUUAGAACGUCGUGAGACAGUUCGGUCCCUAUCUGCCGUGGGCGUUGGAUGAUUGAGAGGGGCUGCUCCUAGUACGAGAGGACCGGAGUGGACGAACCGCUGGUGUUCGGGUUGUGUCGCCAGACGCAUUGCCCGGUAGCUAAGUUCGGAAUCGAUAACCGCUGAAAGCAUCUAAGCGGGAAGCGAGCCUCAAGAUGAGUCAUCCCUAGACCUUUAAGGUCUCUAAAGGGUUGUUGAAGACUACAACGUUGAUAGGUCGGGUGUGUAAGUGCUGUGAGGCAUUGAGCUAACCGAUACUAAUUGCCCGUGAGGCUUAACCAUACAACACCC